Molecule: ribosomal RNA, 253 nt
Filed under: uncultured bacterium
Lineage: Bacteria
Description: partial 16S ribosomal RNA
Rfam family: Archaeal small subunit ribosomal RNA
Source: RNAcentral
UACCAGCACCCCGAGUGGUCGGGACGAUUAUUGGGCCUAAAGCGUCCGUAGCCGGUUUUACAAGUCCCCCGUUAAAUCCAGCUGCUUAACAGAUGGGCUGCGGAGGAUACUAUAAGACUAGGAGGCAGGAGAGGCAAGCGGUACUCAGUGGGUAGGGGUAAAAUCCGUUGAUCCAUUGAAGACCACCAGUGGCGAAGGCGGCGAUCUGGGCAGAUACUGACGCUGAGGUGCGAAAGCGUGGGGAGCAAACAGG